UGGCCCCUACGGGAGGCAGCAGUAGGGAAUCUUCCACAAUGGACGAAAGUCUGAUGGAGCAACGCCGCGUGAGUGAAGAAGGGUUUCGGCUCGUAAAGCUCUGUUGGUAGUGAAGAAAGAUAGAGGUAGUAACUGGCCUUUAUUUGACGGUAAUUACUUAGAAAGUCACGGCUAACUACGUGCCAGCAGCCGCGGUAAUACGUAGGGAGCGAGCGUUGUCCGGAUUUACUGGGGGUAAAGGGUGCGUAGGCGGGUAAGCAA
This 261-nucleotide ribosomal RNA is filed under the name uncultured bacterium. RNAcentral's name for it is "partial 16S ribosomal RNA". It matches the Rfam family "Bacterial small subunit ribosomal RNA", at positions 333 to 586 of the family's 1533-position model. The record is from RNAcentral.